UGGAGAGUUUGAUCCUGGCUCAGGACGAACGCUGGCGGCGUGCUUAACACAUGCAAGUCGAGCGGUAAGGCCUUUCGGGGUACACGAGCGGCGAACGGGUGAGUAACACGUGGGUGAUCUGCCCUGCACUCUGGGAUAAGCUUGGGAAACUGGGUCUAAUACCGGAUAUGACYACAGCAUGCAUGUGUUGUGGUGGAAAGAUUUAUCGGUGCAGGAUGGGCCCGCGGCCUAUCAGCUUGUUGGUGGGGUAAUGGCCUACCAAGGCGACGACGGGUAGCCGACCUGAGAGGGUGACCGGCCACACUGGGACUGAGACACGGCCCAGACUCCUACGGGAGGCAGCAGUGGGGAAUAUUGCACAAUGGGCGGAAGCCUGAUGCAGCGACGCCGCGUGAGGGAUGAAGGCCUUCGGGUUGUAAACCUCUUUCAGCAGGGACGAAGCGUGAGUGACSGUACCUGCAGAAGAAGCACCGGCUAACUACGUGCCAGCAGCCGCGGUA
RNAcentral lists this ribosomal RNA (500 nucleotides) under Rhodococcoides fascians. Its description in RNAcentral is "bacterial SSU rRNA". It matches the Rfam family "Bacterial small subunit ribosomal RNA", at positions 1 to 522 of the family's 1533-position model. Lineage: Bacteria; Bacillati; Actinomycetota; Actinomycetes; Mycobacteriales; Nocardiaceae. The record is from RNAcentral.